This 343-nucleotide unclassified non-coding RNA is filed under the name soil metagenome. RNAcentral describes it as "partial contains 5.8S ribosomal RNA, internal transcribed spacer 2, and large subunit ribosomal RNA". The stretch from base 1 to 120 matches the Rfam family "5.8S ribosomal RNA", at positions 35 to 154 of the family's 154-position model. The record is from RNAcentral.
GAUGAAGAACGUAGCGAAAUGCGAUAAGUAAUGUGAAUUGCAGAAUUCAGUGAAUCAUCGAAUCUUUGAACGCACAUUGCGCCCGCUAGUAUUCUGGCGGGCAUGCCUGUCCGAGCGUCAUUUCAACCCUCAAGCCCCCGGGCUUGGUGUUGGGGAUCGGCGAGCCUCCGCGCCCGCCGUCCCCUAAAUCUAGUGGCGGUCUCGCUGUAGCUUCCUCUGCGUAGUAGCACACCUCGCACUGGGAAACAGCGCGGCCACGCCGUUAAACCCCCAACUUCUGAACGUUUGACCUCGGAUCAGGUAGGAAUAUCCGCUGAACUUAAGCAUAUCAAUAAGCGGAGGA